AGACAGAAGAAAUGGGCACAUUUCCGUGCAUUCCCUGCUAUUUUUCUCCUCCGUAAUUUGACAUCGGGAACGGCCACACAGGAAACAGCUAAGCAGUGUAAAUGCGUUUCUAAUGAUCUCAAAGCUUCACUACAAGCUUAAUAAUAUCAGCGUCCUCGGAUCAAUCGUUAGAUUUCACACAGCAUUAUUCAUCUCAAACUACAAGAAUGUUGAACACUACUUCCCCUUUACCAAAACAAGAAAGAAUAUAUUAUAGGUGUGUGCAAGAAACUUUGCAAUAAAAUCACCUGGCCUGC
Phyllostomus discolor (pale spear-nosed bat) is the source of this 296-nucleotide long non-coding RNA. RefSeq lists it as uncharacterized. Lineage: Eukaryota; Metazoa; Chordata; Mammalia; Chiroptera; Phyllostomidae. The record is from RefSeq and is a predicted model, not a curated record. The transcript has 3 exons.